Molecule: ribosomal RNA, 492 nt
Filed under: uncultured bacterium
Lineage: Bacteria
Description: partial 16S ribosomal RNA
Rfam family: Bacterial small subunit ribosomal RNA
Source: RNAcentral
AGUGAACGCUGGCGGUAGGCCUAACACAUGCAAGUCGAACGGCAGCACAGUAAGAGCUUGCUCUUACGGGUGGCGAGUGGCGGACGGGUGAGGAAUACAUCGGAAUCUACUUUUUCGUGGGGGAUAACGUAGGGAAACUUACGCUAAUACCGCAUACGACCUACGGGUGAAAGCAGGGGAUCUUCGGACCUUGCGCGAUUGAAUGAGCCGAUGUCGGAUUAGCUAGUUGGCGGGGUAAAGGCCCACCGAGGCGACGAUCCGUAGCUGGUCUGAGAGGAUGAUCAGCCACACUGGAACUGAGACACGGUCCAGACUCCUACGGGAGGCAGCAGUGGGGAAUAUUGGACAAUGGGCGCAAGCGUGAUCCAGCCAUACCGCGUGGGUGAAGAAGGCCUUCGGGUUGUAAAGCCCUUUUGUUGGGAAAGAAAAGCAGCAGGUUAAUACCCCGCUGUUCUGACGGUACCCAAAGAAUAAGCACCGGCUAACUUCGUG